AUCCUCGGAUUUGUGUUUUGUCAUCAGCAACUCCUGCAAGAAGAAGUGAGGGCCCAGCUGGUGGCAGAAGUGGUCCCUGAGGAGGCAGUGCCAGCAAACACUGCUCGCCAGCACCCAAAGCCAAGGCUUCUGAAGCAACGUGGGUGCGAUUUUGGCAGCGAGAAUUGUUUGCUGCCAUCCUCAAGAGAAGAUAUUGUGGUGGAAGGGGAGAAUGAACUAACAUAUUCUAAACCAUUCCUUAGCCUCUUAGCUUCAUGUCACGAUCUCAGAAAAUCUCUGAGAUCUCUAUUACUUGGCCUACAUGUUCGACUGUUGCUUGGAGAGGAACAGAUUGGCACAUACAAAGACAGACAAUGCAAUUGCUCAAGACUAGUUAGUUUCCUUAGGAAGUUCGGUGAAAAAGAUCCUUCCCAAGAAUUACAGAUGAGUCCUACCAAAGAAAUGUUAUUACCUUGCAGCCAAAAAUGCUGCAAGAGUUUGGGGCCCUUGUGGUCUGAGUUAAGAGAUGACCAGUUGAAGCAGAUGGACAGGCCGGGGAGCUCAGCUGAACGAUCAGACAAUUUCAAGCUUAGUCAGCUCAAGCAAUGCCAACAGGCACUUGAACGACUUUUUGUCCUAUGGCUACGCUGCUUGCCAGCUAAUGAGGCUUGGAAGGCAUCUACCCCACGUCUCUGCUAGGGUCAGAAAGUUUUAGGUCAGCUUGUUCAGGCAUGAACUGGAACGGAGAGGACAUUUCACUCUGUUGGAUGGAUGCCCCAGCUCAGCUUCCCUGUAUUGAGUUGCAUUUUGGAGAGCACAUCCCUGCUGCAAUCUGGUAGUGGCUGUGGAAGUUACACUUCAAGUAGCUUUAUUCUGAAGAGGAAUAUCGGUGCAAUGUAAGGAGAUUAAGGUCGGAGCCCAGGCUGUAAAGUGGACCAGAAAAUUUGGCAGAUAUACUGCAAAGUAGAAUCCCAACAAGUUUGAUUCAGUCACAGGUCUGCUCAACUUGAGCUGCAAUCCUGUCUUUAGAUGCAGAGCAGCUGUAUCCUCAGAGAGGUAGGAUUUCCAUGCCAUGACAACUGUGCUGCAUAAAGUGCCACCUCUGAGUCUGAUGGCUGAAACAAAGAAGAGAGAAGCACCAAACUGCUCUAGGCCAUAUAGCUAUCAGAUGGAACAAGGAAGCCAAAGACCACGAAAACAUGCCUUAUGGUGACAACUGCCCCAGUGAAGAGUCUCCCUAAAGAAACAAGAAAAAAUGCACUGUUUUUUUAGUGUAUUAUUAACACAAUGGAGAUGAGACCUGGAGUGAAGACUAUCUGGCACAACAGACUAGAGAGGUAAUUCUAAUUGGCCUCCACUGUUUCUUGUUUCUACACUCUCAGCUGGUUAACGUGUUUCUAAAGCACCUGUGAUUGUCAUAUGUAGCCAGCUGUUGCAAACUUCAGUGAUUUUAGUGUAUCAUAGGAAGAUAGGAACAGACAACCCAUGUCAGACUGGGUUCCUCUUUUCCAUAACACCAUUGCUGACAGCAGCUAAUAGCAGAUGUCAAGGGGAAAGAUUAUGAACAGGGUGAAUAGGGAGUGUUUCAUUCUUCCUACAGUCCGCAGCUUCAGGACUUCCAGAGCUGGAGGUGAGGGUUUUCUGCUUAAAUAGCUGUCAGUGCUUUUUUUCUGGCUGCUCUUUGCCUUUGAGAUCCUGAUUCAGUGCAGUGAGGGACCACUGCAGUGAUUAACUGGCCUAUGAAUAUUACCUCAUAUCAAAAAAUAACAAGGUUUCUGGUUGUAUCUCAUAUUGAAUAAAUUUACCUCUAUGUUGCCUACA
This is a long non-coding RNA of Anser brachyrhynchus (Pink-footed goose), 1800 nucleotides long. The record is from Ensembl. NCBI's taxonomy places the organism in Eukaryota, Metazoa, Chordata, Aves, Anseriformes, Anatidae.